This 72-nucleotide transfer RNA is filed under the name Pteropus alecto (black flying fox). It matches the Rfam family "tRNA". Rfam says of the family: Transfer RNA (tRNA) molecules are approximately 80 nucleotides in length. Their secondary structure includes four short double-helical elements and three loops (D, anti-codon, and T loops). Further hydrogen bonds mediate the characteristic L-shaped molecular structure. tRNAs have two regions of fundamental functional importance: the anti-codon, which is responsible for specific mRNA codon recognition, and the 3' end, to which the tRNAs corresponding amino acid is attached (by aminoacyl-tRNA synthetases). tRNAs cope with the degeneracy of the genetic code in two manners: having more than one tRNA (with a specific anti-codon) for a particular amino acid; and 'wobble' base-pairing, i.e. permitting non-standard base-pairing at the 3rd anti-codon position. The record is from Rfam by way of RNAcentral. Lineage: Eukaryota; Metazoa; Chordata; Mammalia; Chiroptera; Pteropodidae.
GGUUCUAGAGUGUAGUGGUUAGCAUUUCUGCUUUACACACAGAAGGUCCUGGUUUGAGCCCCAGUGGAGCCA